GCAAGUCGAACGGCAGCACGGGGGCAACCCUGGUGGCGAGUGGCGAACGGGUGAGUAAUACAUCGGAACGUGUCCUGUAGUGGGGGAUAGCCCGGCGAAAGCCGGAUUAAUACCGCAUACGCUCUACGGAGGAAAGGGGGGGAUCUUAGGACCUCCCGCUACAGGGGCGGCCGAUGGCAGAUUAUCUAGUUGGUGGGGUAAAGGCCUACCAAGGCGACGAUCUGUAGCUGGUCUGAGAGGACGACCAGCCACACUGGGACUGAGACACGGCCCAGACUCCUACGGGAGGCAGCAGUGGGGAAUUUUGGACAAUGGGGGCAACCCUGAUCCAGCAAUGCCGCGUGUGUGAAGAAGGCCUUCGGGUUGUAAAGCACUUUUGUCCGGAAAGAAAACGCCGUGGUUAAUACCCGUGGCGGAUGACGGUACCGGAAGAAUAAGCACCGGCUAACUACGUGCCAGCAGCCGCGGUAAUACGUAGGGUGCAAGCGUUAAUCGGAAUUACUGGGCGUAAAGCGUGCGCAGGCGGUCCGCUAAGACAGAUGUGAAAUCCCCGGGCUUAACCUGGGAACUGCAUUUGUGACUGGCGGGCUAUAGUAUGGCAGAGGGGGGUAGAAUUCCACGUGUAUCAGUGAAAUGCGUACAGAUGUGAAGGAAUACCGAUGGAGAAGGCAGCCCCCUGGGCCAAUACUGACGCUCAUGAUCAAAAGCGUGGGGAGCACACAUGAUUACAUCUCCCUGGUAGUCCACGCCUCUAAACGAUGUCCCACUACUUGUUGGGUCUUC
Molecule: ribosomal RNA, 783 nt
Filed under: Paraburkholderia fungorum
Lineage: Bacteria; Pseudomonadati; Pseudomonadota; Betaproteobacteria; Burkholderiales; Burkholderiaceae
Description: bacterial SSU rRNA
Rfam family: Bacterial small subunit ribosomal RNA
Source: RNAcentral